This 158-nucleotide ribosomal RNA is filed under the name Neodiprion pinetum (white pine sawfly). RNAcentral describes it as "5.8S ribosomal RNA". It matches the Rfam family "5.8S ribosomal RNA". From Rfam's summary of the family: 5.8S ribosomal RNA (5.8S rRNA) is a component of the large subunit of the eukaryotic ribosome. Lineage: Eukaryota; Metazoa; Arthropoda; Insecta; Hymenoptera; Diprionidae. The record is from RNAcentral.
UACCCUGAACGGUGGAUCACUUGGCUCGUGGGUCGAUGAAGAACGCAGCUAAUUGCGCGUCAACUUGUGAACUGCAGGACACAUGAACAUCGACAUUUCGAACGCCACAUUGCGGUCCACGGAUACAAUUCCCCGGGACCACGCCUGGCUGAGGGUCG